Molecule: non-coding RNA, 125 nt
Organism: Brachypodium distachyon (stiff brome)
Lineage: Eukaryota; Viridiplantae; Streptophyta; Magnoliopsida; Poales; Poaceae
Source: Rfam
CAGAUACUCCCUCCAUCCAACAAAAGAUGUCUCGAUUUGAAUGUAUCUAUACACUAAGUCAUGUCUAGAUACAUCCAAAUUUUGAUAAACUUGAGACAUCCUUUAUUGGACGGAGGAAGUACAAA